This 77-nucleotide transfer RNA is filed under the name gut metagenome. RNAcentral's name for it is "tRNA-Arg". It matches the Rfam family "tRNA". From Rfam's summary of the family: Transfer RNA (tRNA) molecules are approximately 80 nucleotides in length. The record is from RNAcentral.
UCGCCCGUAGCUCAGUUGGAUAGAGCAUCUGCCUUCUAAGCAGGCGGUCGCAGGUUCGAUUCCUGUCGGGCGAACCA